UCGACUAAUUGUAUUUGGCACACCCUUUGUCCUAGGACGAAAUAACCAACGAAACAGACGCUCAACCGUUGACCGCGACCACCACCACCACCACCACCAGGGGUGAUGGCUACGCAGCUUCCACCUCUCCGCCACAUCUUGGCCUUCGACACCAUGUUCUCUCACCUUCUUCAUUCCCUUUUCCACUCAUACCUCCCUGCUUCGCUUCUCCUCGUCCUUGAACUGUUGGCUGACUUCCGCUUUUCCUUUCCCAUUACGCUCGCCCUAUGCCUUUCCCCUCUCUCCCCCUCCCUCCUCCCUUUCUUUUCUCCUCUCCUCUUCGGCCUCCUCCUCGACAUCGCCUUCGUUGGCCUAAUCAAGAUCAUUUUCCGCCGUCCUCGCCCUCCCUACAAUCCUAACAUGUCCGCUGUCGUUUCCGCUGACAACUUCUCCUUCCCCAGUGGCCACGCCUCCCGCGUUUUUCUCGUCGCUACCCUAGUUUCGCUUUCUGCGGACGCCAUUGAAGCGGCUCUGACGGAUUUGAGGGCGAAUGACGGAUUUGCCCACCGGUGGAUUGCAGGGGACGACACCAAAGUGGUGGGGAUUGUGGUAUUGGUUGUUCGAGUAUGGGCAGCAGUAACGGCGUUGUCUAGGGUUUUGCUCGGUAGGCAUUUUUUUAUCGACGUUUUAGCGGGGGCGUGUUUGGGCGUCUUUGAAGCUCUCCUUGCUUUUCAAUUCCUGCAAAUUGAGGAAUAUUUGAGUUCCAUAAAGGGAGAUCAGCACAAAUCAGCAGAAUCUUACUCUCAGAACUUCAUAGCCGGUUAAUCAAGACUGAUGUCAGCUUGGAUAGCAAACUUUUUUCUCAACACAUAGGCAUGAAUGCUACCCUUUCUAGGAUCUUUUUGGCCCAGCCUUCGUGAUCAUUAAUUCAUUAUUGAAUGUAGCGUUCCAAUUUGGCCUUUUGGUUUAGGAAAAUUGCAUGCUUACACAUUAUGGGCUUAAAACAGAGAGCAGAGAGCCUAUCGCUUUAUCAGAAAGUUGGCCAAGGUCACAGUUAAGUGCUUUGGAGUUGCAGCUGUAGGAGAGCAUCUCGUGCAAUAUACUGGGCAGACGUAUCUAAAAUUCUCUAGAUGGCAGAUACAUGUUAAGGAUAUCUAUUAACAAAUGUCUGCAAUGUCUAGAAAAUGUUGCAUUGCUUCAUUUUUUGCCAGAGACAUUGAAUACUGGAACAUGAACCACUUCGUAUUUCCAAACUCAUACUCUGUUGAUUUCGACAACUGCUUUUGGCAGUAAAUGUGUAUUCCAGUUUGUAUAUUCAUUUUUAACUAUGUAUUUGAUUAAUUUUCUAUUCUCUUCAAUUUGUUAAAUUUUUUGUUGAAUA
Manihot esculenta (cassava) is the source of this 1360-nucleotide RNA transcript. It is a transcript of the gene named probable lipid phosphate phosphatase beta, with no coding region annotated. NCBI's taxonomy places the organism in Eukaryota, Viridiplantae, Streptophyta, Magnoliopsida, Malpighiales, Euphorbiaceae. The record is from RefSeq and is a predicted model, not a curated record. The transcript is spliced from 3 exons.